CCUACGGGUGGCAGCAGUGAGGAAUAUUGGUCAAUGGCCGAGAGCCUGAACCAGCCAAGUCGCGUGCAGGAUGACGGCCCUACGGGUUGUAAACUUCUUUUGUCAGGGAGCAAUUGAGUCCACGUGUGUUCUUAGCAAGAGUACCUGAAGUAAACGCAUCGGCUAACGCCUUGCCAGCAGCCGAGGUAAUACGGAGGAUGCGAGCGUUAUCCGGAUUUCUUGGGUUUAAAGGGUGCGUAGGCGGAAUAUCAAGUCAGCGGUAAAAAUGCGGGGCUCAACCCCGUCUGGCCGUUGAAACUGAUGUUCUUGAGUGGGCGAGAAGUAUGCGGAAUGCGUGGUGUAGCGGUGAAAUGCAUAGAUAUCACGCAGAACUCCGAUUGCGAAGGCAGCAUACCGGCGCCCAACUGACGCUGAAGCACGAAAGCGUGGGUAUCGAACAGGAUUAGAUACCCCUGUAGUC
Molecule: ribosomal RNA, 460 nt
Filed under: uncultured bacterium
Lineage: Bacteria
Description: partial 16S ribosomal RNA
Rfam family: Bacterial small subunit ribosomal RNA
Source: RNAcentral